Long non-coding RNA from Gadus morhua (Atlantic cod), 382 nucleotides. RefSeq lists it as uncharacterized. The record is from RefSeq and is a predicted model, not a curated record. NCBI's taxonomy places the organism in Eukaryota, Metazoa, Chordata, Actinopteri, Gadiformes, Gadidae. The transcript has 3 exons.
CGGCGAGCGGCUGGUCUGCCACGAGGAGCUGAGUGUGCAGCAGACCCCAGACACCAUUUCAAUCAAGGUUGAAGAGGAUAUUUGUGGGGGCAGUCCUUCUGUUGAAAUCUGCGAUGCCUUUGGAGACCGUAGCACGCAGCGCGGCGCCACCUCGGAGAGUCUGGGUGUGGACGCCCCUGGCUCCUCCCACAUGUCCAGUCACGGCGGGGAGCUGAAGAUCCUGAGCGUCGACGUAAAAAGGGAGGGCCCUCUGGCGACGGACGGCCAUGACACCCUCUUCACCGCGUCAGAAGUGGAGGCCCUGAACUCGCUGUCUGCGGACCACAGCGCGGCCAAGAGCCUGGAGCGCGGCGAGCGGCUGGUCUGCAGCGAGGAGCUGAGU